This 467-nucleotide ribosomal RNA is filed under the name uncultured bacterium. RNAcentral describes it as "partial 16S ribosomal RNA". It matches the Rfam family "Bacterial small subunit ribosomal RNA", at positions 29 to 507 of the family's 1533-position model. The record is from RNAcentral.
ACGAACGCUGGCGGCGUGCUUAACACAUGCAAGUCGAACGGAAAGGCCCUGCUUUUGUGGGGUGCUCGAGUGGCGAACGGGUGAGUAACACGUGAGUAACCUGCCCUUGACUUUGGGAUAACUUCAGGAAACUGGGGCUAAUACCGGAUAGGAGCUCCUGCUGCAUGGUGGGGGUUGGAAAGUUUCGGCGGUUGGGGAUGGACUCGCGGCUUAUCAGCUUGUUGGUGGGGUAGUGGCUUACCAAGGCUUUGACGGGUAGCCGGCCUGAGAGGGUGACCGGCCACAUUGGGACUGAGAUACGGCCCAGACUCCUACGGGAGGCAGCAGUGGGGAAUAUUGCACAAUGGGCGGAAGCCUGAUGCAGCAACGCCGCGUGCGGGAUGACGGCCUUCGGGUUGUAAACCGCUUUCGCCUGUGACGAAGCGUGAAUGACGGUAAUGGGUAAAGAAGCACCGGCUAACUACGUG